RNAcentral lists this ribosomal RNA (547 nucleotides) under uncultured Basidiomycota. RNAcentral describes it as "SSU rRNA". It matches the Rfam family "Eukaryotic small subunit ribosomal RNA", at positions 548 to 1098 of the family's 1831-position model. Lineage: Eukaryota; Fungi; Basidiomycota. The record is from RNAcentral.
UUGGAGGGCAAGUCUGGUGCCAGCAGCCGCUGUAAUUCCAGCUCCAAUAGCGUAUAUUUAAGUUGUUGCAGUUAAAAAGCUCGUAGUUGGACUUCAGACCUGGCUGGGCGGUCCGCUUAACGGCGUGUACUGUCUGGCUGGGUCUUACCUCUUGGUGAGCCGGCGUGNCCUUUAUUGGUGUGCGUCGGGGAACCAGGACUUUUACCUUGAGAAAAUUAGAGUGUUCAAAGCAGGCCUAUGCCUGAAUACAUUAGCAUGGAAUAAUAAAAUAGGACGUGCGGUUCUAUUUUGUUGGCUUCUAGAGUCGCCGUAAUGAUUAAUAGGGAUAGUUGGGGGCAUUGGUAUUGUGUCGCUAGAGGUGAAAUUCUUGGAUUGACACAAGACCAACUACUGCGAAAGCAUUUGCCAAGGAUGUUUUCAUUAAUCAAGAACGAAGGUUAGGGGAUCGAAAACGAUCAGAUACCGUUGUAGUCUUAACAGUAAACUAUGCCGACUAGGGAUCGGACGACCUCAAUUUUGAUGCGUCGUUCGGCGCCUUACGGGAAAC